Molecule: non-coding RNA, 45 nt
Organism: Schistosoma margrebowiei
Lineage: Eukaryota; Metazoa; Platyhelminthes; Trematoda; Strigeidida; Schistosomatidae
Source: Rfam
AUUCAGCUGACGAGUCCCAAAUAGGACGAAACAGGCUUCCUGGAU